GUGGAUGAUGGAUGACUGUGUGGUAGGUGGAUGAUGGAUGAGUGUGUGGUGGGUGGAUGAGGGAUGAGUGUGUGGUGGGUGGAUGACGGAUGAGUGUGUGGUGAGUGGAUGAGGGAUGAGUGUGUGGUGGGUGGAUGAUGGAUGAGUGUGUGGUGAGUGGAUGAGGGAUGAGUGUGUGGUGGGUGGAUGAUGGAUGGAGGAGUGGGUGGAUGAUGGAUGACUGUGUGGUAGGUGGAUGAUGGAUGAGUGUGUGGUGGGUGGAUGAGGGAUGAGUGCGUGGUGGGUGGAUGAUGGAUGAGUGUGUGGUGGGUGGAUGAGGGAUGAGUGUGUGGUGGGUGGAUGAGGGAUGAGUGUGUGGUGGGGGAUGA
This 368-nucleotide long non-coding RNA is filed under the name Homo sapiens (human). Its description in RNAcentral is "non-protein coding lnc-ECHDC3-7:1". The record is from RNAcentral. Lineage: Eukaryota; Metazoa; Chordata; Mammalia; Primates; Hominidae.